Molecule: long non-coding RNA, 1441 nt
Organism: Thamnophis elegans (Western terrestrial garter snake)
Lineage: Eukaryota; Metazoa; Chordata; Lepidosauria; Squamata; Natricidae
Exons: 2
Source: RefSeq, a predicted model, not a curated record
GACUCUGUAAACUGCUUAGAGAGGGCUGUAAAGCACUUUGAAGCGGUAAAUAAGUCUAAGUUGCUAUUGCUAUCCCGUGACCAUGAAAAUGCUGCAGAAGUCAUAAGUGAGUAGUCAUAAGGCACUUUUUCUAGUGCUACUAUAACUUCAAGCAAUCACUUAUAAAUUGUUAUAAGUUGAGAUAUAUAUUUAGCCUAAAGUCAGAUCAAUGAAUUCAAACUCUAAUAUGACCAUCCUAUGCACCAGAAAGUAAUCUCAAUGAAACUUUUUUUCUAAAAAGGUAUGUUUAUUGUGAGACUGUAACACACUGCAGUUUUUUUCAGCACUGAGAAGAUUUAAUGCGCAAAGAACAUAAAUUAAUUGUUUAAAUGAAAAUGCAAUUUAUAUUACCAUAAUAUACUAUAGUUAAGUUAAUGCAUGGUAUAUAUUAUGGUAAUAUAAUAUAUACCAUUACUAAUAUGAUCAAUAUUGAAUUCAUGUGCCCUUUCUGUUUUACUCUGGUCAUUCUUAUACUGCGAGAUAAUUCCCAGAAUUUAUCACCGUAUGAUUUUGAUAAGACUUUUUUGCUUUACACCAUGCCUAAAUAUAUUACAAUAAGUAUUAGCUAUAAAUACCUCCUAACUAAAUGUAUUGUGUGCAUGAUAUUUUGUCAAGCAUAGAUCUUCAUCCUCAACAGAGAAUAAAUGAAUACAUAUAUAUGCUGUGCAGAGAUGGUAUUCAGCCAGUUCGCACUGGUUCAUGUGAACCGUUGGCGGAAAUUUGGCCAAGGUCGGCAAACUGGUAGUGACGGUGGCUGGCCAUGCCCCCAACAGGUCGCCUAGUUACCGCUCACUCCCCUCGCCCACCCGCUCGACGCUCAUUCACUUGCCCUGCCAAUCCGAGCCCUAUAUAUGCUGUCACUUCACCAGACGGACCAGCUACAUGCCUCGCCAGUCACCUACAUGCCUCACCUGCUCUAUUCAGCUCACCAAAGGAUGCAUCAAAAUCCUAUAACAUUCUGCUGAAGAAGAAAAGAAGACUCCCUCACUUGUCUUUUGUGACCAAUGUCAACACUUUGAUUUGGAUGCCAUAGUUAGUAGAAGAUGCAGUUGAUGUUAUUUUAGCUCUUCUUUACCAAUAGGAAUGGAUACUUUCCUAACCAUAUUUUCUAAAAAUUUGCAUAGGCCCUUUAGUUGCUGGACUCCCACCCUUAUAAAACUGAACGAGAAGAGAUAGAAAAAGGUGAUGGUGAACCUCUAUUUACAGAAAUAAUUCUACCAUGUGUAAAAUAAGAGGUGAUAUGAACUUUCUCCAAAAGUACUUUUUUGGGGAAGAUGUUUACAUUUUGAUGCUACCUCAGUACCAUAUAUUAUUGAAUACAGUUGGAAGUGAGAGUAACAUAUAUGCCGCCUUGGAUGUAAAAGAUGAUAUAUAUCUCAAAUAAAUAAUAAUUGCUUUUCAA